ACGUCUUUAGUUUAAUUGGUUCAGAACGACAGACUCCAAAUCUGUAAGAUGUGGGUUCGAGUCCUACAGGGCGUG
This 75-nucleotide transfer RNA is filed under the name Bacteriophage sp. RNAcentral's name for it is "tRNA-Trp". It matches the Rfam family "tRNA". Rfam says of the family: Transfer RNA (tRNA) molecules are approximately 80 nucleotides in length. Their secondary structure includes four short double-helical elements and three loops (D, anti-codon, and T loops). The record is from RNAcentral.